RNAcentral lists this ribosomal RNA (501 nucleotides) under uncultured bacterium. Its description in RNAcentral is "partial 16S ribosomal RNA". It matches the Rfam family "Bacterial small subunit ribosomal RNA", at positions 29 to 523 of the family's 1533-position model. The record is from RNAcentral.
AUUGAACGCUGGCGGAAUGCUUUACACAUGCAAGUCGGGCGGCAGCGCGGGGGCAACCCUGGCGGCGAGCGGCGAACGGGUGAGUAAUGCAUCGGAACGUACCCAGUCGUGGGGGAUAACUGUCCGAAAGGACAGCUAAUACCGCAUACGACCUGAGGGUGAAAGCGGGGGAUCGCAAGACCUCGCGCGAUUGGAGCGGCCGAUGUCGGAUUGGCUAGUUGGUGGGGUAAAGGCCCACCAAGGCGACGAUCUGUAGCUGGUAUGAGAGGACGAUCCGCCACACUGGGACUGAGACACGGACCCGGCUCCUACGGGAGGCAGCAGUGGGGAAUAGUGGAGAAUGGGGGGAACCCUGAUCCAGCCAUGCCGAGUGUGUGAAGAGGGCCUUAUGGUUGUAAAGCACUUUAAGCGAGGAGGAGGCUCUUUUGGUUAAUACCCAAGAUGAGUGGACGUUACUCGCAGAAUAAGCACCGGCUAACUCUGUGCCAGCCGCCGCCGUAA